UUUCCGUAGGUGAACCUGCGGAAGGAUCAUUAUCGUACCAAAGGUGAUGGGCAUGCGAAGGCUGUCGCUUACCCAAAAGUCGUGCACGCCCGAUUGUGUCCUCUUGCACAAUAAUCCAUCCCACCCCUUGUGCAUCACCGCGUGGGCACCCUUCGGGAUCAUCUCGGGGGGGGGCUCUCGUUUUCACACAAACCCCCCUUUUAAAAGUGUAGAACGACGCCAUUUAUGCAAUCAAUACAACUUUCAACAAUGGAUCUCUUGGCUCUC
This 267-nucleotide unclassified non-coding RNA is filed under the name plant metagenome. RNAcentral describes it as "partial contains small subunit ribosomal RNA, internal transcribed spacer 1, and 5.8S ribosomal RNA". The record is from RNAcentral.